Long non-coding RNA from Betta splendens (Siamese fighting fish), 393 nucleotides. RefSeq lists it as uncharacterized. Lineage: Eukaryota; Metazoa; Chordata; Actinopteri; Anabantiformes; Osphronemidae. The transcript is spliced from 2 exons. The record is from RefSeq and is a predicted model, not a curated record.
CAGCUGCUGGUGCUGCGCGGCCGGCUGGGACAGCAGCUUCCCUCUCUUCCCCUUCUCCAUGUACCAGCGAAACAGGAAGUCGGCAAAGUUCUGCAGAGCGAGGAAGCCAGAGAGUCAGAGAGCUGAGACCCAAACAUCAGGUUUCAGGCUUUGUUAAACUACACCCCUCUCUCCCUCCUCACCAUCGGGGACAGACUCAGCCCAGCGGGGGUCCGAGGCCGGGUAAUCGUCCACCAGGUCCAGGUUGAUCUGAGUCACCACAGUGUCCAGCUCGGGUUCCUGGUCUCCAUCACCGUCGGUGGGGAAGAGCUCAUCUGUGACAGUCUGUGCUCCCACCAGGUCAUUACUAACGAGACAGAGAGGUUCAUUAUAAUAAAGUCAAUACCAAAUCAG